GACGAACGCUGGCGGCGCGCUUAACACAUGCAAGUCGAACGGAAAGGCCUGCUUUCCCUUGUGGAUUGCGGGUACUCGAGUGGCGAACGGGUGAGUAACACGUGAGUGAUCUGCCCCCAACUUGGGGAUAAGCCUGGGAAACUGGGUCUAAUUCCCGAUAGGACUGCAGGGUGGUGCCUGUGGUGGAAAACGAUUUUCUAGUGGUUGGGGAUGAGCUCGCGGCCUAUCAGCUUGUUGGUGGGGUAAUGGCCUACCAAGGCGGGGACGGGUAGCCGGCCUGGGGGAGUGGGCCUGCACAUUUGGACGGACAAACUGGCCCGGCGCCUACGGGAAGCAGCAGGUGGGAGGAUUACACGAGGGGUGGAAGCCUGAUGCAGGAACGCCGCAGGGGGGAUGCCGGCCUUGGGAUUGUAAACUCCUGUCUACCGCGAGGAAGCCACCUGGUUGGAAGGGUAGUGACGGUAGUGGUAGAAGAAGCACCGGCUAACUACGUG
Molecule: ribosomal RNA, 494 nt
Filed under: uncultured bacterium
Lineage: Bacteria
Description: partial 16S ribosomal RNA
Rfam family: Bacterial small subunit ribosomal RNA
Source: RNAcentral